Molecule: ribosomal RNA, 407 nt
Filed under: uncultured bacterium
Lineage: Bacteria
Description: partial 16S ribosomal RNA
Rfam family: Bacterial small subunit ribosomal RNA
Source: RNAcentral
AUUGAACGCUGGCGGCAGGCCUAACACAUGCAAGUCGAGCGGAGCGGCGGACGGGCGAGUAAUGCAUAGGAAUCUGCCUGGUAGUGGGGGAUAACGUCCGGAAACGGGCGCUAAUCCCGCAUACUAUCAGAUGAGCCUAGGUCGGAUUAGCUAGUUGGUGGGGGAAAGGCCUACCAAGGCGACGAUCCGUAACUGGUCUGAUAGGAUGAUCAGGCACACGGGAACUGAGACACGGUCCAGACUCCUACGGGAGGCAGCAGUGGGGAAUUUUGGACAAGGGGCGAAAGCCUGAUGCAGCCAUGCCGCGUGUGUGAAGAAGGUCUUCGGAUUGUAAAGCUCUUUAAGUUGGGAAGCGUUACCAACAGAGUAAGCACCGGCUAACUUCGUGCCAGCAGCCGCGGUAAUAC